Molecule: long non-coding RNA, 1546 nt
Organism: Homo sapiens (human)
Lineage: Eukaryota; Metazoa; Chordata; Mammalia; Primates; Hominidae
Exons: 5
Source: RefSeq, marked validated
UUGAUAGCUGCUUGUGGCAGCAGCUGGUCUAGAGCCCACAUAGCAAGCAGCUUCAAGAGCUGAUUACUUAGCUCAAGGCGGGUGGUGGGAUGGACUGCUGCCUCACUCUCAUGCCUCUGUGGGUCUAUAAUUUAUAGCAGGCUUGCAUUCCUCAGAUAAAGUUUCUUUUCUUUCUCAAUUUCUAUACAGAGAUCCCUCAAGUUGCAGGAAAUAUGGACAGGUACUCAGGCCUUUUGAUUUCCAGCACACAAGUUUCUAUACCCUUGCCAACAGUUAGCUGCCUGAUCUUUUCUAAAAGGGCUCAAUGAAUGCAAACGUCAAACUUCUCUUUGCAGCUAGAUCCAAAUGAUCACCCUGCAUUAGUCUGUUCUCACACUGCUCUAAAGAAAUACCUGGCUAAUUUAUUAAAAAAAGAGUUUUUUGUUUGUUUGUUUUUAGGCUCACUGCAAACUCCGCCUCCCGGGUUCAAGUGAUUCUCCUGCCUCAGCUUCUCCAGUAGCUGGAACUACAGACACCAAGAAACUGGACACCCUCCACCGGUAACAUAUUUUGGCGAGCCAGCCAGGAGAAGGUGUGGUCCCUGAUCCCUACGGUGGUGGUGGUAACUCACACUUGUUUCAGUUCUGAAACUGCUCUUCCUGCUGCUGGAGCCCCCACCCCUGCUCCAUUUUGAAGUAGCUGAUCCGGAUCAGCUUAGAUUGUGCCAAGUUUCAAGAAAAAGAUGAAAUAUGAGUUGCAUUUUGACAAAUGAAGAGGAUGUGAAGGGCAGAAGGAGCAGAAACUACCAGCAGAGAUGCUAAGAUGAAAGGCACAGAGUGCAAGUUGGAUUGAAAAAACAAGACCUAUCCGAGUGCUGACUUCAAAAGACUCAUCUCAUACAUAAUGACACCCAUAGGCUCAAAGUAAAGGAUUGGAUAAAUAUUUAUUAUGCAAAUGGAAAACAAAACAAAAAAAAGAGCCAGAGUCACUAUUCUUAUAUCAGAUAAAAUAGACUUUAAACCAACAAAAGUAGAAAAGGACAAAGAAGGGCAUUAAAUAAUGAUAAAGAUUUCAGUUAAACAAGAAGACUUAACUAUCCUAAAUAUAUAUGCACCCAACAUUGGAGCACCCAGAUUCAUAAAACAAGUACUUCUAGACCUAUGAAAAGACCUAGACAGCCAUAAAAUAGUAGCGGAGGUUUUCGACACCCCAUUAGAAAGGUCAUUGAGGCAGAAAACUAACAAAGAAAUUCUGGACUUAAAUUGGACACAACCAGCUGGACCUAAUUGACACCUACAGAACACUCCACUGAUCAACCACUCUUCUCAUCUGCACACAGAACAUACAUCAAGAUUGAUCACUAGCUUAGCCAUAAAGCAAGUCUCAAUAAAUUCAAAAAAUCAAGAUCAUACCAACCACAAUCUUGGGCCACGGUGGAAUAAAAUAGAAAUCAAUACCAAGAAGAUCUCUGAAAACCACACAAUUACAUGGAAAUUAAAAAACUUACUCCUGAAUGACUUUUGAGCAAACAAUAAAGUUAAGGCAGAAAUUAAAAAAUUAUUUUAAA